GCGGUUUCUUAAGUCUGAUGUGAAAGCCCCCGGCUCAACCGGGGAGGGUCAUUGGAAACUGGGGAACUUGAGUGCAGAAGAGGAGAGAGGAAUUCCACGUGUAGCGGUGAAAUGCGUAGAGAUGUGGAGGAACACCAGUGGCGAAGGCGACUCUCUGGUCUGUAACUGACGCUGAGGAGCGAAAGCGUGGGGAGCGAACAGGAUUAGAUACCCUGGUAGUCCACGCCGUAAACGAUGAGUGCUAAGUGUUAGGGGGUUUCCGCCCCUUAGUGCUGCAGCUAACGCAUUAAGCACUCCGCCUGGGGAGUACGGUCGCAAGACUGAAACUCAAAGGAAUUGACGGGGGCCCGCACAAGCGGUGGAGCAUGUGGUUUAAUUCGAAGCAACGCGAAGAACCUUACCAGGUCUUGACAUCCUCUGACAAUCCUAGAGAUAGGACGUCCCCUUCGGGGGCAGAGUGACAGGUGGUGCAUGGUUGUCGUCAGCUCGUGUCGUGAGAUGUUGGGUUAAGUCCCGCAACGAGCGCAACCCUUGAUCUUAGUUGCCAGCAUUCAGUUGGGCACUCUAAGGUGACUGCCGGUGACAAACCGGAGGAAGGUGGGGAUGACGUCAAAUCAUCAUGCCCCUUAUGACCUGGGCUACACACGUGCUACAAUGGACAGAACAAAGGGCAGCGAAACCGCGAGGUUAAGCCAAUCCCACAAAUCUGUUCUCAGUUCGGAUCGCAGUCUGCAACUCGACUGCGUGAAGCUGGAAUCGCUAGUAAUCGCGGAUCACAUG
Molecule: ribosomal RNA, 780 nt
Filed under: Bacillus sp. NW1C
Lineage: Bacteria; Bacillati; Bacillota; Bacilli; Caryophanales; Bacillaceae
Description: bacterial SSU rRNA
Rfam family: Bacterial small subunit ribosomal RNA
Source: RNAcentral